GUCGAACGGUAGCAGGAAGUGCUUGCACUUCUGCUGACGAGUGGCGGACGGGUGAGUAAUGCUUGGGAACUUGCCUUUAGGUGGGGGAUAACAGUUGGAAACGACUGCUAAUACCGCAUAAUGUCUACGGACCAAAGGGGGCUUCGGCUCCCGCCUUGAGAGAGGCCCAAGUGAGAUUAGCUAGUUGGUGGGGUAAAGGCCUACCAAGGCAACGAUCUCUAGCUGUUCUGAGAGGAAGAUCAGCCACACUGGGACUGAGACACGGCCCAGACUCCUACGGGAGGCAGCAGUGGGGAAUAUUGCACAAUGGGGGAAACCCUGAUGCAGCCAUGCCGCGUGUGUGAAGAAGGCCUUCGGGUUGUAAAGCACUUUCAGUUGUGAGGAAAGGUUGGUAGUUAAUACCUGCCAGCUGUGACGUUAACAACAGAAGAAGCACCGGCUAACUCCGUGCCAGCAGCCGCGGUAAUACGGAGGGUGCGAGCGUUAAUCGGAAUUACUGGGCGUAAAGCGCACGCAGGCGGCUUGUUAAGCUAGAGGUGAAAGCCCCGCGCUCAACGUGGGAACUGCCUUUAGAACUGGCAGGCUAGAGUCUUGGAGAGGGGAGUGGAAUUCCAGGUGUAGCGGUGAAAUGCGUAGAUAUCUGGAGGAACAUCAGUGGCGAAGGCGGCUCCCUGGCCAAAGACUGACGCUCAUGUGCGAAAGUGUGGGUAGCGAACAGGAUUAGAUACCCUGGUAGUCCACACCGUAAACGCUGUCUACUAGCUGUUUGUGUAUUUAAUACGUGAGUAGCGAAGCUAACGCGCU
Molecule: ribosomal RNA, 804 nt
Filed under: Gammaproteobacteria bacterium GUDS1234
Lineage: Bacteria; Pseudomonadati; Pseudomonadota; Gammaproteobacteria
Description: bacterial SSU rRNA
Rfam family: Bacterial small subunit ribosomal RNA
Source: RNAcentral